UUAAGCGACUAAGCGUACACGGUGGAUGCCCUGGCAGUCAGAGCGAUGAAGGACGUGCUAAUCUGCGAUAAGCGUCGGUAAGGUGAUAUGAACCGUUAUAACCGGCGAUUUCCGAAUGGGGAAACCCAGUGUGAUUCGUCACACUAUCAUUAACUGAAUCCAUAGGUUAAUGAGGCGAACCGGGGGAACUGAAACAUCUAAGUACCCCGAGGAAAAGAAAUCAACCGAGAUUCCCCCAGUAGCGGCGAGCGAACGGGGAGCAGCCCAGAGCCUGAAUCAGUGUGUGUGUUAGUGGAAGCGUCUGGAAAGUCGUGCGAUACAGGGUGACAGCCCCGUACACAAAAAUGCACAUACUGUGAGCUCGAUGAGUAGGGCGGGACACGUGGUAUCCUGUCUGAAUAUGGGGGGACCAUCCUCCAAGGCUAAAUACUCCUGACUGACCGAUAGUGAACCAGUACCGUGAGGGAAAGGCGAAAAGAACCCCGGCGAGGGGAGUGAAAAAGAACCUGAAACCGUGUACGUACAAGCAGUGGGAGCACGCUUAGGCGUGUGACUGCGUACCUUUUGUAUAAUGGGUCAGCGACUUAUAUUCUGUAGCAAGGUUAACCGAAUAGGGGAGCCGAAGGGAAACCGAGUCUUAACUGGGCGUUAAGUUGCAGGGUAUAGACCCGAAACCCGGUGAUCUAGCCAUGGGCAGGUUGAAGGUUGGGUAACACUAACUGGAGGACCGAACCGACUAAUGUUGAAAAAUUAGCGGAUGACUUGUGGCUGGGGAUGAAAGGCCAAUCAAACCGGGAGAUAGCUGGUUCUCCCCGAAAGCUAUUUAGGUAGCGCCUCGUGAAUUCAUCUCCGGGGGUAGAGCACUGUUUCGGCAAGGGGGUCAUCCCGACUUACCAACCCGAUGCAAACUGCGAAUACCGGAGAAUGUUAUUACGGGAGACACACGGCGGGUGCUAACGUCCGUCGUGAAGAGGGAAACAACCCAGACCGCCAGCUAAGGUCCCAAAGUCAUGGUUAAGUGGGAAACGAUGUGGGAAGGCCCAGACAGCCAGGAUGUUGGCUUAGAAGCAGCCAUCAUUUAAAGAAAGCGUAAUAGCUCACUGGUCGAGUCGGCCUGCGCGGAAGAUGUAACGGGGCUAAACCAUGCACCGAAGCUGCGGCAGCGACGCUUAUGCGUUGUUGGGUAGGGGAGCGUUCUGUAAGCCUGUGAAGGUGUGCUGUGAGGUAUGCUGGAGGUAUCAGAAGUGCGAAUGCUGACAUAAGUAACGAUAAAGCGGGUGAAAAGCCCGCUCGCCGGAAGACCAAGGGUUCCUGUCCAACGUUAAUCGGGGCAGGGUGAGUCGACCCCUAAGGCGAGGCCGAAAGGCGUAGUCGAUGGGAAACAGGUUAAUAUUCCUGUACUUGGUGUUACUGCGAAGGGGGACGGAGAAGGCUAUGUUGGCCGGGCGACGGUUGUCCCGGUUUAAGCGUGUAGGCUGGUUUUCCAGGCAAAUCCGGAAAAUCAAGGCCGAGGCGUGAUGACGAGGCACUACGGUGCUGAAGCAACAAAUGCCCUGCUUCCAGGAAAAGCCUCUAAGCAUCAGGUAACAUCAAAUCGUACCCCAAACCGACACAGGUGGUCAGGUAGAGAAUACCAAGGCGCUUGAGAGAACUCGGGUGAAGGAACUAGGCAAAAUGGUGCCGUAACUUCGGGAGAAGGCACGCUGAUACGUAGGUGAAGCGACUUGCUCGUGGAGCUGAAAUCAGUCGAAGAUACCAGCUGGCUGCAACUGUUUAUUAAAAACACAGCACUGUGCAAACACGAAAGUGGACGUAUACGGUGUGACGCCUGCCCGGUGCCGGAAGGUUAAUUGAUGGGGUUAGCGCAAGCGAAGCUCUUGAUCGAAGCCCCGGUAAACGGCGGCCGUAACUAUAACGGUCCUAAGGUAGCGAAAUUCCUUGUCGGGUAAGUUCCGACCUGCACGAAUGGCGUAAUGAUGGCCAGGCUGUCUCCACCCGAGACUCAGUGAAAUUGAACUCGCUGUGAAGAUGCAGUGUACCCGCGGCAAGACGGAAAGACCCCGUGAACCUUUACUAUAGCUUGACACUGAACAUUGAGCCUUGAUGUGUAGGAUAGGUGGGAGGCUUUGAAGUGUGGACGCCAGUCUGCAUGGAGCCGACCUUGAAAUACCACCCUUUAAUGUUUGAUGUUCUAACGUGGACCCGUGAUCCGGGUUGCGGACAGUGUCUGGUGGGUAGUUUGACUGGGGCGGUCUCCUCCUAAAGAGUAACGGAGGAGCACGAAGGUUGGCUAAUCCUGGUCGGACAUCAGGAGGUUAGUGCAAUGGCAUAAGCCAGCUUGACUGCGAGCGUGACGGCGCGAGCAGGUGCGAAAGCAGGUCAUAGUGAUCCGGUGGUUCUGAAUGGAAGGGCCAUCGCUCAACGGAUAAAAGGUACUCCGGGGAUAACAGGCUGAUACCGCCCAAGAGUUCAUAUCGACGGCGGUGUUUGGCACCUCGAUGUCGGCUCAUCACAUCCUGGGGCUGAAGUAGGUCCCAAGGGUAUGGCUGUUCGCCAUUUAAAGUGGUACGCGAGCUGGGUUUAGAACGUCGUGAGACAGUUCGGUCCCUAUCUGCCGUGGGCGCUGGAGAACUGAGGGGGCUGCUCCUAGUACGAGAGGACCGGAGUGGACGCAUCACUGGUGUUCGGGUUGUCAUGCCAAUGGCACUGCCCGGUAGCUAAAUGCGGAAGAGAUAAGUGCUGAAAGCAUCUAAGCACGAAACUUGCCCCGAGAUGAGUUCUCCCUGACCCUUUAAGGGUCCUGAAGGAACGUUGAAGACGACGACGUUGAUAGGCCGGGUGUGUAAGCGCAGCGAUGCGUUGAGCUAACCGGUACUAAUGAACCGUGAGGCUUAACCUU
Molecule: ribosomal RNA, 2899 nt
Filed under: Shigella flexneri K-218
Lineage: Bacteria; Pseudomonadati; Pseudomonadota; Gammaproteobacteria; Enterobacterales; Enterobacteriaceae
Description: bacterial LSU rRNA
Rfam family: Bacterial large subunit ribosomal RNA
Source: RNAcentral